This 433-nucleotide ribosomal RNA is filed under the name uncultured bacterium. RNAcentral describes it as "partial 16S ribosomal RNA". It matches the Rfam family "Bacterial small subunit ribosomal RNA", at positions 29 to 507 of the family's 1533-position model. The record is from RNAcentral.
AGCGAACGCUGGCGGCAGGCCUAACACAUGCAAGUCGAACGAACUCUUCGGAGUUAGUGGCGGACGGGUGAGUAACACGUGGGAACGUGCCUUUUGGUUCGGAAUAACUCAGUGAAACUUGUGCUAAUACCGAAUGUGCCCUUCGGGGGAAAGAUUUAUCGCCAUUAGAGCGGCCCGCGUCUGAUUAGCUAGUUGGUGAGGUAACGGCUCACCAAGGCGACGAUCAGUAGCUGGUCUGAGAGGAUGACCAGCCACACUGGGACUGAGACACGGCCCAGACUCCUACGGGAGGCAGCAGUGGGGAAUAUUGCGCAAUGGGCGAAAGCCUGAAGAAGCCAUGCCGCGUGAAUGAUGAAGGUCUUAGGAUUGUAAAAUUCUUUCACCGGGGACGAUAAUGACGGUACCCGGAGAAGAAGCCCCGGCUAACUUCGUG